RNAcentral lists this ribosomal RNA (382 nucleotides) under uncultured eukaryote. Its description in RNAcentral is "partial 18S ribosomal RNA". It matches the Rfam family "Eukaryotic small subunit ribosomal RNA", at positions 592 to 976 of the family's 1831-position model. The record is from RNAcentral.
UGUAAGCGUAUACCAAAGUUGUUGCAGUUAAAACGCUCGUAGUCGGACUUUGGCAGUUCCGGAUGUGUGCACGUCGUGUGCGCACUUCGCGGGGAUUGCUUUUGUGGUCUUGCGUAGGAUGAGGCACUUUUAUUAGUGAACGUCCUCACGCAACCACUUUUUACUGUGAGAAAAUCAGAGUGCUCAAAGCAGGCAUUUGCCGUGAAUGUAUUAGCAUGGAAUAAUAGAAUAGGACUUGGUUCUAUUUUGUUGGUUUGUUGGGACUGAGUAAUGAUUAAGAGGGACAGUUGGGGGCAUUUGUAUUUCGGUGCUAGAGGUGAAAUUCUUAGAUUACCGAAAGACAAGCUGCUGCGAAAGCGUCUGCCAAGGAUGUUUUCAUUGA